RNAcentral lists this unclassified non-coding RNA (303 nucleotides) under plant metagenome. RNAcentral's name for it is "partial contains small subunit ribosomal RNA, internal transcribed spacer 1, and 5.8S ribosomal RNA". The record is from RNAcentral.
UUUCCGUAGGUGAACCUGCGGAAGGAUCAUUAAUGAAUAUCUAUGGCGUUGGUUGUAGCUGGCUUCUAGGAGCAUGUGCACACCCGUCAUUUUUAUCUUUCCACCUGUGCACUUGAUGUAGGCCUGGAUAACUCUCGUUCUUUUGAACGGAUGCAAGGAUUGCUGCGUCGCAAGACCAGCUCUCUUUGAAUUUCCAGGACUAUGUAUCUUUACAAACCCCAAUUGUAUAAUGAAGAAUGUAGUCAAUGGGCUUUUAGCCUAUAAAACAAAAUACAACUUUCAGCAACGGAUCUCUUGGCUCUC